This 409-nucleotide ribosomal RNA is filed under the name bacterium. Its description in RNAcentral is "partial 16S ribosomal RNA". It matches the Rfam family "Bacterial small subunit ribosomal RNA", at positions 355 to 776 of the family's 1533-position model. The record is from RNAcentral.
UGGGGAAUAUUGCACAAUGGGCGAAAGCCUGAUGCAGCGACGCCGCGUGAGGGAUGACGGCCUUCGGGUUGUAAACCUCUUUCAGUAGGGACGAAGCGCAAGUGACGGUACCUGCAGAAGAAGCACCGGCUAACUACGUGCCAGCAGCCGCGGUAAUACGUAGGGUGCGAGCGUUGUCCGGAAUUACUGGGCGUAAAGAGCUCGUAGGCGGUUUGUCACGUCGUCUGUGAAAUCCUAGGGCUUAACCCUGGACGUGCAGGCGAUACGGGCUGACUUGAGGACUACAGGGGGGACUGGAAUUUCUGGUGUAGCGGUGGAAUGCACAGAUAUCAGGAAGAACACCGAUGGCGAAGGCAGGUCUCUGGGUAGUAACUGACGCUGAGGAGCGAAAGCAUGGGUAGCGAACAGG